This 563-nucleotide ribosomal RNA is filed under the name uncultured bacterium. Its description in RNAcentral is "bacterial SSU rRNA". It matches the Rfam family "Bacterial small subunit ribosomal RNA", at positions 338 to 916 of the family's 1533-position model. The record is from RNAcentral.
CCUACGGGAGGCAGCAGUGGGGAAUAUUGCGCAAUGGGCGAAAGCCUGACGCAGCGACGCCGCGUGAGGGAUGAAGGCCUUCGGGUUGUAAACCUCUUUCAGCAGGGACGAAAUCAGACGGUACCUGCAGAAGAAGCACCGGCCAACUACGUGCCAGCAGCCGCGGUAAUACGUAGGGUGCAAGCGUUGUCCGGAAUUAUUGGGCGUAAAGAGCUCGUAGGCGGUUUGUCGCGUCGGCUGUGAAAACUCGGGGCUCAACCCCGAGCCUGCAGUCGAUACGGGCAGACUAGAGUGCUGUAGGGGAGACUGGAAUUCCUGGUGUAGCGGUGAAAUGCGCAGAUAUCAGGAGGAACACCGGUGGCGAAGGCGGGUCUCUGGGCAGUAACUGACGCUGAGGAGCGAAAGCGUGGGGAGCAAACAGGAUUAGAUACCCUGGUAGUCCACGCCGUAAACGGUGGGUGCUAGGUGUAGGUCGUAUUCCACGCGAUCUGUGCCGCAGCUAACGCAUUAAGCACCCCGCCUGGGGAGUACGGCCGCAAGGCUAAAACUUAAGGAAUUGACGG